RNAcentral lists this ribosomal RNA (253 nucleotides) under uncultured bacterium. RNAcentral's name for it is "partial 16S ribosomal RNA". It matches the Rfam family "Bacterial small subunit ribosomal RNA", at positions 524 to 776 of the family's 1533-position model. The record is from RNAcentral.
UACGAAGGGUGCAAACGUUAUUCGGAAUCACUGGGCGUAAAGGGUGCGUAGACGGUAUGUUAAGUUCGUUGUUAAAGGCUCCGGCCUAACCGGAGUACCGCAAUGAAAACUGGCGUGCUAGAGGGUGAGAGAGAGAAGUGGAAUUCCCGGAGUAGCGGUAAAAUGCGUGGAUCUCGGGAGGAACACCAGUGGCGAAGGCGGCUCUCUGGGGUAUUUCUGACGCUGAGGCACGAAAGCCAGGGGAGCGAACGGG